This is a long non-coding RNA of Eriocheir sinensis (Chinese mitten crab), 1905 nucleotides long. RefSeq lists it as uncharacterized. The transcript is spliced from 5 exons. The record is from RefSeq and is a predicted model, not a curated record. NCBI's taxonomy places the organism in Eukaryota, Metazoa, Arthropoda, Malacostraca, Decapoda, Varunidae.
CAAACCAAUAGUCCUCGCAGGAAUCCCACGGAGUCGCAGAAGAUCCCAGAGUGCCUCACGAUCGAUGCACUGAAUCAAACGCCUUCCUGAGAUCGACACAGGCUGCAAGCAUCCCCUGUCGAAACUCACCUCGGCGCUCCACCACUCGUAAACCUUCUAUCAGUCGAUCAAUCUCAUUCAAUCAUUCAGUCAGUCAGUCAACCAGUUUGUCUGCCAGGCAAUCGGUCAGUCUGUCAGACAGUCAAUCCAUCAUUCAUUCAGUCAGUCAGUUAACCAGCUAUAUAGUCAGUCAGUAUAUCAUGCGGUCAGGCAGUCAGUCAGUUAGUCAGUCAGUCAAUUAGUCAACCAGUCAGUCAGUCAGUUAAUCAAGCAGUCAGUGAGUCAGUCAUUAGAGGAAACAAGAACAGUUUUGUGGUGAGGAAGGUGCUUGAAAAAUAGUGUCAGUGGAAUGCAGCACUUAUAUUUACCGGGAUGAUGUCAGCAAGGAGAGUCAAUUAACAGUUUAACUGGAGCACACGAGUUUAGCAACUAGACGAAUACAAAUGAAUAAUAGAUAAAUUUACACAUCAUAGAUAGACAACUAUAAUAUAAGGUAAGUACAAUGUUCCAAGUACGACAAUUUCGUAUCGCUGGCGAGUCACACGGGCGUGAAGUUGCCAGCUCGUUACACUCAGCCUGUUAUAUUUGCCGAUCUCCCACCCAAAACCUGUCUCUGGCGCCCAAUAACGAGACUCAGAUAUAGUUAUCACUAAAACCGUUGAUUCCUGAUGUGUUUUGGCAAUGGUUAAGCGUCGAAAACCGGUACAUGCACGAGGGCGAGAUGAUGAAGGCAAGUUAUCCCAGCAUCGUUUCCAGAUUGUCGUACUCGGAGCAUUACAUUUACCAGCUUCUCCCGCAUAAAUAUCACCAGGAAACAUGAAUAAUAAACCAUUUCAACAAUAACUACAAAUAAAUAUCGUUAUUGUGACCCAGGAAACAGUUUUGGGGAUGGAAAUUGGGAAACAUGAGAAACUGAGUACGACAAUCUGGCAACGUUGUACAAUAAUCCCAGCCAUCAGCUGUUCAGUGUUUGUUUACCUCGCGCGGGGAGAGAGAUCCUCGUGCUCCCGGCCUUGUAGCGGUGCCGUGGCGGGGCGUGUAGGCGUUGACAUCACUCACGGUCAUCGGCACUGCCCAUACACUCAGUCCACCCUGGCGGGGACCUCACCAAUGACCUCCAUGAAAACAGGGUCCCAGACAAGCCAGUUGGUCUGAAGGCCGUGGCGCUGACUGACCACAUCAGGGUGUGCUGGCAGCCCCCCGCACAGCACAAUGUGAUGCUGUGCGGCUACACCAUUGCCUGGGACCAAGGCGUGGCGGACAUCUACUCCAAGAUCGUGGACAGCAAGCAGCACGGUUACAUCAUUGAUAAGCUGGAACCCAACAUGGAGUUUGUGAUAAGCCUGUGAGCCUUCAACAACGUGGGUGACGGGCAACCGGUGUACCAGCAAGUCCGCACCCAGCCAGAGGAGGAGGAGGUGGUGGCACCCACGCUGGACCCGGCGGUGGGGGUGGAGGCCGUGGUGCUGACGCCCUUCACCGUGGUGCUGCAGUGGGCGGACACCAUGCUGAGCCAGAACCAGUACAACAGCUGCACCACCUUCUCGUCCUCAUCCUCCAGCCGCUACGUCAACGCCACGGAUGUGACCUGCCUCAUUGACAGCCUCAAGCCAUCAACAGUGUGUGAGUUUGCUGUGAAGACCAUCAUGUGGAGACCACAGUGCUGGAAGCCUUCGUUCUUCUUUCAGUAAAUAUUCACUCAGUCCUGCAACACUUCUCAAGGAAAUCCUGCACAGCUGAAUCCUUGCUGUGAUGAGGCACAGAGAAAUUAUGACUCAUAGGGUGAGCUAUUAUUAGUGUUUGAGA